RNAcentral lists this long non-coding RNA (1228 nucleotides) under Homo sapiens (human). Its description in RNAcentral is "HSALNT0236307". Lineage: Eukaryota; Metazoa; Chordata; Mammalia; Primates; Hominidae. The record is from RNAcentral.
ACAGAUGAGGUCUCACUAUAUUGCCCAGGCUGGUCUUGAACUCCCAGGCUCAAGCAAUUCUCCUACCUCAGCCUCCCAGUGAUGACCAAUGAUGCUGAGCACGUUUUCUUAUACCUGUUUGGCAUUUGUGUGUCUUAUUUUGAGAAGCGUCUAUUCAAAUCUUCUGCCCUCUUUUUGAUCAGAUUAUUAGAUUUUUUUUCUCAUAAUCACUUUUUGAAGCAAGAUUUCAAGUUUGAAUCCUGCUGGGGAGGAUAGAGUGAAUUUAUAUUAACUGUAUUAAUUUAUGUAUAUUUCAUAUAUUUGUAUAUAUUUCAGCUCUAGCAGUGAGAAUGGCAUCCUGGCAGGCCGUUUUGGGAGCUAAACAUAUAGGAGAAGUGGGCUGGGUUGCUAGAGGGUGAAUUACCAGACAUGUGGUGUCAGGGCCUGCCACACCCACUAUCCAUCCUAAACAAGGCAGUCUUAGGCCAACCCCAUGAUCCUUCUUCAGUGUUGGCACCCCAAGCCCUCAGAGCAUCAGGCAGUAGCAACGGGAACAAAAGUGCUGCCUCUGCAGAGAGAAGCCAAGAAGUUGGUCUGGGGCUAAGACCAUGGUGAAAUGAUGCACAGGUGACGAGAAAGCAGAAACUACACAGUAGAAAGGGGACAUGCAAAGUAGGGGGAAUGGGCAGUGCUGACGAAGUGAGAGGAGCAGAGAGCGGACAGAGCGGCAGAGACAGAUCAGGAGACAGGCUCUGGAGCUGCCUUGGCCUCUGACACUGGUCUAGUAAGUUCCAGUCCAUGUGCAAGACUACAGGAAACCUAGGAGAAACUUCAUUUUUUUGUUUUUUGAGAUGGAGUCUCACUCUGUCACCCGGGCUGGAGUGCAGUGGCACGAUCUCGGCUCACUGCAACCUCCGUCUCCCAGGUUCAAGUGAUUCUCCUGCCUCAGCCUCCCGAGUAGCUGGGAUUACAGGCAUGCACCAUGAUGCCUGGCUAAUAUUUUUUGUUGUUGUUUAUUUAUUUUUGUAGAGAUGGGGGGUCUCACUGUGUUGCCCAGGCUGGUCUUGAACUCCUGGGCUCAAGUGAUGCUCCAGCCUCAGCCUCCCAAAUAGUUAGGAUUACAGGCAUGAGCCACUGUGCCUGGCCAAAACCUUGCUUUUCUGACAGAUCUGAUUCACCCUAGCUACAGAUUCUAUAGCACCUGUUUAUUUUUAUGCUUCUCAUAGUCUGGCAUCACUGGCUGUUGAUA